Non-coding RNA from Dermacentor andersoni, 2650 nucleotides. The record is from RefSeq and is a predicted model, not a curated record. NCBI's taxonomy places the organism in Eukaryota, Metazoa, Arthropoda, Arachnida, Ixodida, Ixodidae.
AAAGCGAUGACGGCGGUUCAUCACACGGGGAAAAACAGCAACCAUCAUAUACAGACGUCAGUGACAGUUCAUCUGGCAGUUAGAUCACCUUCCGGCUAAAGGAUGGUUCUGUGUUUUGUUCUGGACUGAUAGAACUCUAGUAAUUAGAGUGAAUAAUGAAAUCAGAAUCAAAUUUAUUUUCGCCAUAUAUGCGGGUGCGCAUGCAACGACCACUAUUAUGAUAGCAAGAGUACGUGGAGACCAGUGUGCAAGUCGCAAGAAGAAGACAUAUCGCGUAAGUAUUACAUUUGCUUUACCAAAAAGCACAAGAUUUCAAUACUUCAAAAACGGAUAUGUUUGCAACACUAUUGUGUCGUUCAUUAUUGCUUUCUUCUUUUGUAGUUAAACUAUCGAGAAAAUAACUAUUUAACGGGGAACAAAAUUUAAUCAAGUGGAUAUUGCAUUAGACAGUUCUCGUAAUCGUCAUCUGAACUGCAGAAAGAGUCAAGCAAAAUUGUUCGCGAACGGCGCGUUAAUUGUAAACGGCCCUGUCGCAGUACAGAAAAAAUCGUCAAACGAACUAAGCGCAGGCGACUCGUGGACUGUACAGUUCUAGGAAACAUUUCAGUUGAAUGUUUUCACUGGGGAGGGUGAAAGAAGCGAUUAUACGAAGGCGAAUUGUGAAGAGAUGUCAAAAUCUGCAAUUUUUCUAGCUAUUGUCGAUUCGUCUAAGAAUAAUUAAGGCUGCAUGCCAAUCAAUGUAAAUCAUAAAAUAGAGCAUUUCUGCUGUCGACGUGGAUUUGAUUGGGAAGAACUAGAGUUAGAUCAAAUUCUUCCAAUUUUCGCUCAAUUAACUAAUGACGUUCAACAAUCAAGCAGUUAAGAAUUAAUAAAUUCAUGGUAUAUCAUGAGUGUUUUUUCAAGCGCCGUCUCCUGUGAAGCAUAUCUACCAUUUUCGUGCAAAGCUCUCUGGAAAGCGUAUUGACUGUGUAUGCAUGCAUGCAUCUAUCGAACUUCGUGCACAUAUAGACGUGAUGCUUUGACGAUAAAUACUUAUUAAAAUUCAAAUUAUUUAUUUCUGCCUUGUAAAGGUACAGACAGCAGAGGCGCAGAAAAAGCUGUCAGAUACAGAUUGACAAAGCCGCAGCCCUCUUUCGCUUGGCACAGCCUUCACAGCGACACUUUUAAAACAAAGACAAUUGCACCCGGUAAUAACAGGUAUACAAUACUGAGCAAGUACAAAAGGAAACCAAUCAAGAUUAUACGAUAUUUGUACAAUACUCCCAAACAAGAAAACAGAACCUACAUGCUAACGUACAUAGCACCCAAAGUACUGUUCGACACGUUGAAGAAGUCAAAAUUAUUGUUCACAUAAGGUAUAUACAUAUUCGUAUAGCGCUACCAAUCCCUGCAAAAUAUAGAACGCAGAUUUUCAUUACACACACGCACGCACGCACGUGCACAGCACACACACCAAAAGGAAACGGCAACGCGCUCACAGGAAGCGCCUGAAAAACGAAAAAAAAAAGGAAUAGUGUGGGGAACCGAGGUCGUCUUGGGCUGUCGCCUCUCCCUCUCCCAGAAGGAAUGAAGAGGUUCUUGGAAAGCAGGGACGGGCGAUUCUCUCUGUCAGCAUCAGCUCCCACCAGCGAGGACGGGGCGAGAAAGCGAAACGGGACUUUCCUUGCUGUCUAUUUUUUCUUCGUCAGGCCAACGCCGCUUGCUUGCAGGGGCGCAGGCGAGUUCCCGCCAAAUGGCGCGGGUGCGUGAGUUGCCGCCAAAUGCUAGCUCUGGAUGCCAGCUCGUUCCGCGUCUCAUGGUAGACUAGUUGGUGCAUUUCUGUUAUCAUGGACUGCGCAUAUAAACGCAAGCUACACAAAAGUGACAUGGACAAGAACAGCGCAAGCCCUUUACAUGCAGUGGAGCCGCCGUAUCUCGCCGUUCAAGAUAUGCGUACUCGAAAAAAAAAAAAAAAGAGAGGCUUUACAUGAGAACGGAUCAAGCGUUCGAGAGUUGGGACAGGGAAAUGUGAGACGUACGUAUGUAUAUAUUUCUAAUAUUAUUUUUUCGUCUUGUAUUCUCGUUAAUUUUUCUCUAGGAAACACUGGAACGACACUGCUUAAAUUGAAGCACAGUGUGCGAAUGACCUGCUACGCUCGGAACUGUUAUCACCAUUCGGGAAGAAAUUGGGUAAGAAUGGAUUGUGUGUGGCGCGCUUCACCGCAUGUGGACUAGAGUAGAUCUAGGAACAUCAGACAAGAAGACACGUAUGUGAAACCCUGCGGAUAGCCCAUAUGUGAACUUUUUUUCCAGAUACGGAGGAACGGACACCGGUCAUGCCGUGCGCACUCUUCUGCAGGGCAUACUUACAAAUGAAGCUGCACUGCAGUUCAGCUGGAAAGGGUCGCAGGGGAGGAAGCACGCCUUCGUGAAGCUCAUGGCCAUCACGAAUAUAACAUCUGUGAGGAGCACGUUCCCUGACGCUUCACUAGCAUCAGUGGCUGGAGUCGCAAAACGCCGGUUGGUUGGAGCAGCUGACAGGGAUGGAGGCCGGAAUGAAAGAAGGCGCCGUGACCCUGCUUCAAGCCCACCAAAUAUGAACUAGUGUUUGAAACUUGUGAACGUGUCGGUGUACAUAUACAAUUACAAGAAAUAAAGACCUGUAUCAGAA